AGCGAACGCUGGCGGCGUGGUUAAGGCAUGCAAGUCGAGCGAUCCCGCAGCAAUGCGGGAUAGCGGCAAACGGGUGAGUAACGCGUAGGUAACCUACCCUGAAGUGUGGGACAACCCUGCGAAAGCGGGGCUAAUACCACAUGCGCUCGCAGACUGCAUGGUCUGCGAGGAAAGAUGGCCUCGACCGAAAGGUUGCUAUCACUUUAGGAGGGACCUGCG
RNAcentral lists this ribosomal RNA (219 nucleotides) under uncultured bacterium. Its description in RNAcentral is "partial 16S ribosomal RNA". It matches the Rfam family "Bacterial small subunit ribosomal RNA", at positions 29 to 235 of the family's 1533-position model. The record is from RNAcentral.